UUGUCUCAAAGAUUAAGCCAUGCAUGUCUCAGUACAUACCAAAUUAAGGUGAAACCGCGAAAGGCUCAUUAAAUCAGUUAUGGUUCCUUAGAUCGUACCAACAUUUACUUGGAUAACUGUGGUAAUUCUAGAGCUAAUACAUGCAAACAGAGCUCCGACCGGAGACGGGAGGAGCGCUUUUAUUAGAUCAAAACCAAUCGGUGGCGGUCCGCCGUCAUCGUACAACUUGGUGACUCUGAAUAACUUUACGCUGAUCGCACGGUCUAGCACCGGCGACGCAUCUUUCAAAUGUCUGCCUUAUCAACUGUCGAUGGUAGGUUCUGCGCCUACCAUGGUUGUAACGGGUAACGGGGAAUCAGGGUUCGAUUCCGGAGAGGGAGCCUGAGAAACGGCUACCACAUCCAAGGAAGGCAGCAGGCGCGCAAAUUACCCACUCCCGGCACGGGGAGGUAGUGACGAAAAAUAACGAUACGGGACUCAUCCGAGGCCCCGUAAUCGGAAUGAGUACACUCUAAACCCUUUAACGAGGAUCAAUUGGAGGGCAAGUCUGGUGCCAGCAGCCGCGGUAAUUCCAGCUCCAAUAGCGUAUAUUAAAGUUGUUGCGGUUAAAAAGCUCGUAGUCGAAUCUGUGUCCCGCGCCGCCGGUUCAUCUUUCGAGGUGUUAACUGGCGUGCCGCGGGACGUCCUGCCGGUGGGCUUAGCUCCUUGUGGGCGGCCCAACUCAAUCCCGCCGCGGUGCUCUUCACUGAGUGUCGAGGUGGGCCGGCACGUUUACUUUGAACAAAUUAGAGUGCUUAAAGCAGGCUAAAACUUUGCCUGAAUACGUGUGCAUGGAAUAAUGGAAUAGGACCUCGGUUCUAUUUUGUUGGUUUUCGGAACCCCGAGGUAAUGAUUAAUAGGAACGGAUGGGGGCAUUCGUAUUGCGACGUUAGAGGUGAAAUUCUUGGAUCGUCGCAAGACGGACAG
Molecule: ribosomal RNA, 966 nt
Filed under: Prostomis sp. COL394
Lineage: Eukaryota; Metazoa; Arthropoda; Insecta; Coleoptera; Prostomidae
Description: SSU rRNA
Rfam family: Eukaryotic small subunit ribosomal RNA
Source: RNAcentral